This 695-nucleotide long non-coding RNA is filed under the name Homo sapiens (human). Its description in RNAcentral is "non-protein coding RORA-AS1:5". The record is from RNAcentral. Lineage: Eukaryota; Metazoa; Chordata; Mammalia; Primates; Hominidae.
GACGGCUGCUCCCCUCCUUUCCUCCCGCCACAAGCGCUCGCUGUGGUUCUGGCAGCGAAGUGCGAGACUGGGCUCGCCAGGCGGAAGUGGUUGGAGACUGCGUGUUUUCCUAGAAAGUCCUCGACCUUCGUCGGGGAGAGGAGGGGAGUGAUAAAUUGGAAGGCGGACAAGCGACAAGUGCGGUACUGGAAAGACCCAAACAUACUUGGUUGUGACCUCAGGUCACAUCUCCCAAGAAGCAGUAAUGUUCCAGCAAUAAGAAAAGGACAGUUUUUUGUCUUUUGCAUGGUGAGCCUUAUAUGAAUUACAUCAAUUUUGUCACCAAUAUCCAUCAUCAGAACAUUUUGCCUACUCACUGUGAAGACAAUAAGGAUGAAGACCUUUAUGACAAUCCACUUCCACUUAAUGAAUAAUGAGGAAACUGGGGCACAGAGAAAUUAAGUGACUUGUCCAGGAGGACAGGGCCAAUAACCGGUGGAACCAUAAGAAAAAAAUCCAGUAACAGCUUUGAAAAAGGAAGAUAACAAUGACCUGUGUGUACAGCGUCCAAGGGAACCAUUAGCAGUGGAGCUCCCCAGGCUCCUGGGACGACCAAGCACAUGGUCCAACCAACCAUCUUCUGACAAGGUAGGGGUGGGCAGUGGAAGGCAAAAAGAAUGGCUGCACUUGUGUUUCUGAAGGUCAGACCAAGAAAC